CAUUCCUGUAAUGGCUGCUUUCGGUCCGCUUCCUCUUUAAAAUAGGCUGUGUCACGAGUAACCUCUUAGCCUCAGCAUCCGGAAGUUCCAAAGAGAAUAUUUCACGUUGGAUAGAAUUUUACAUAUACCAUUGUUUCGGCAAGUUCAGCCCUCCAGAUCUUGACAUCAUGAAUUCUGUUUCAACACAAUUGAUCUUAGUCCUCACUUCGCUCCUUUUGAUCCUGCCUGUUGUUGAAGCAGUGGAAGCUGGAGAUGCGAUUGCACUAUUAUUAGGUGUGGUUCUCAGCAUUACAGGCAUCUGUGCUUGCUUGGGGAUAUAUGCAAGAAAGCGAAAUGGACAGAUAUGAAUCUGAAGGACUCUUCUCAAUUAGACUUCACCCUGACCAGUGUGCUGAAAACCAUUGUGCUGUUGAGGCCAACCCCAAGUUUUGAUCUCUCCGGUUCUCAGCAAGAGGGUUACAGUUAACUGAGAGUUAACACCUUCAGUUAAGAUGAUGCUUUCAUUUCAUACUUGUUUCUUCUACAAUGGGAGCAGAUGGGGGUGGAGGGCAGCUCUUAACAACAAAGAGUGCACUAAUAUUGUGGCCCAGAAUCUGUAUUUGCUGCUUGGGAAGGGGCCAAAGUGAGAGGGCUUAAGUUUGCAUAAGUAUUAUUUCAUACUUUCAAGUUGUCAGAACACAUGGAAUUUGGAAUGUAUUUGCUCAGAAUCUAGUAAAUCUACAUUGUUAUAAUCACUGCCUCUUAUAUUCUGGGGAUCUCUCUCUCUCUCUCUCUCUCUCCCUCUCCCUCUCCCCCCUCCCCCGUUAGAGGGUUGGGGUGGGUUUGAAUUUGUUUUAUUGUUGUUACUGUUUUUUUUUUUAAUGCUUAUGUUUUUAUCUCCCAAGUUGAUAUUGUACUUAGAUCUUAGCCAAAAACUUUUAUCUCUGAGAAAAUGUUUGAUAAAAAUGUACUAAACAUAUCUAAUAUUAAAAUGGAGGAAAUAUUUGUUAAAAGAUAACUUUACAUUGAGUAUCUUCUCCUUUGUGAGUUGUAUUGCAUCAAAUACAUAGCCAUUAUGCCUU
Mus pahari (shrew mouse) is the source of this 1061-nucleotide RNA transcript. It is a transcript of the gene named small integral membrane protein 30, with no coding region annotated. The transcript has 3 exons. The record is from RefSeq and is a predicted model, not a curated record. Lineage: Eukaryota; Metazoa; Chordata; Mammalia; Rodentia; Muridae.